RNAcentral lists this ribosomal RNA (253 nucleotides) under uncultured bacterium. RNAcentral's name for it is "partial 16S ribosomal RNA". It matches the Rfam family "Bacterial small subunit ribosomal RNA", at positions 524 to 776 of the family's 1533-position model. The record is from RNAcentral.
UACGAAGGGGGCUAGCGUUGCUCGGAAUCACUGGGCGUAAAGGGCGCGUAGGCGGCCAUUCAAGUCGGAGGUGAAAGCCCAGGGCUCAACCCUGGAAUUGCCUUCGAUACUGUUUGGCUAGAGACCGGAAGAGGUAAGUGGAACUGCGAGUGUAGAGGUGAAAUUCGUAGAUAUUCGCAAGAACACCAGUGGCGAAGGCGGCUUACUGGUCCGGUUCUGACGCUGAGGCGCGAAAGCGUGGGGAGCAAAAAGG